AUAGUCUUUAUCAUUAGCAUUUUGCAAUCCACCAACUUUGCAAUACGCACGGCCUGACCAUCUUGUUGAAGCUAUUUUCAUUUUCCCGUAUACUUUGCGGGGACAGCUUUGACAAGUAACCCAUCGCCAAAGACUCCCACGCAUGGUACCUAGAAAAACCGUUUUCGGGUCAAAUCUGUUUUUGGCUAUAGGUUUGGAACAAAAACAUACGCAUAUUGUCCGGAAGCUUUAAAGUCGUGAUGUUGGCUGGGCUAAAUGGAGGAUGUCAAAAAAAAAAGACUUGCCCAUGGCUUGACGACACUGUGUUGAGCCCAGAUACCUCCGUCAAAGGUUUCAUAAGAGGCGAGCCAUCGAUCGAUGAAUAGAGAGUUGGGUUGGGAUAUGAUGAUUGCGUUCUGUUUUUAGAUGUCAGAUUUGUUAAUAGACAUCAAGCAUUUUGAACUAGGGAGACGAACUCACACAAAGACCUUCGGGAUCGAGAGCAGAUCGUCUAGAGUCAGGGGACGCUUCCAUACCCAGUGUCGUAGGGUAGUACAGUAGAUCGUCAAACGGUUUAGUGCUAGUCUUUUUUCAUCAGCCGUUAUUUUCCCCAUAUAUCGGUGGCUAGAGACGUACACGUAAAUAUCAAUAUCGAGAUAUAUCCCGCCGGAAUACUUCAUUGCCAGUAAUCGAAGUACGUCGGCUUUAUGCGCAAAGUGCUUGAGUGGGCGUCCAUAGAUACUUUCGGGGACUUGGGUCUUGAUCAGCGUGAGGUGUGGUCGGAUGAGGUCCCACCAUGGACCUGUAGGGAGAUGUUCAUAGUGGCUGUAGCGUAUGCGUGAUUAGCAGAGUUGCGCUUACAAGUAGAUUUGCGCUUACAAGUAGAUGGCUUUUGGUUUGAGAUUGAUCAAGGCGCUACGCAUAGCUAGGUAGGCAUAGUAGGGUAAUUCUUCUCCUGUUUUCCCCUCGGGCACGGGUUUGAGGCCGUAUACAUAGUGGACUGCAUCGGGGACGAGCAUGCCCUUCUUCUUGGGCUGGAGGGGUUCGGGUAUGUAGCUCGGGCGAUCUGGCGGAGGGGGGGCGAGAAAGUCGCUGGGUUUUACGAGGAAUGGAGAGGAGGUGUA
This 1103-nucleotide small RNA is filed under the name Cryptococcus neoformans H99. RNAcentral describes it as "Cryptococcus neoformans var. grubii H99 hypothetical RNA". Lineage: Eukaryota; Fungi; Basidiomycota; Tremellomycetes; Tremellales; Cryptococcaceae. The record is from RNAcentral.